Molecule: ribosomal RNA, 253 nt
Filed under: uncultured bacterium
Lineage: Bacteria
Description: partial 16S ribosomal RNA
Rfam family: Bacterial small subunit ribosomal RNA
Source: RNAcentral
UACGUAGGGCGCAAGCGUUGUCCGGAAUUAUUGGGCGUAAAGAGCUCGUAGGCGGCUUGUCACGUCGGGUGUGAAAGCCCGGGGCUUAACCCCGGGUCUGCAUUCGAUACGGGCAGGCUAGAGUGUGGUAGGGGAGAUCGGAAUUCCUGGUGUAGCGGUGAAAUGCGCAGAUAUCAGGAGGAACACCGGUGGCGAAGGCGAGUCUCUGGACAUUUCCUGACGCUGAGGCACGAAAGCCAGGGGAGCAAACGGG